GUUCUUGUUUUGGCAGCACAUACACUAAAAUUGAAACAAUACAGAGAAGAUUAGCAUGGCCCCUGCGCUGAUAUAUUAGGGACAAUUCUUUUUUUUUU
Erinaceus europaeus (western European hedgehog) is the source of this 98-nucleotide small nuclear RNA. NCBI's taxonomy places the organism in Eukaryota, Metazoa, Chordata, Mammalia, Eulipotyphla, Erinaceidae. The record is from Ensembl.